AAAUUUUUUAAUAAGCUCUAUAACGGAAAAGGCAGUCGAGUAUAUCGUCAGAUAAAUCAUCAAUUCACCACUUUUGGACAUCAGCUUACUCGGGGCUUUCCAAUCCUACACGUCUAGCAGCAAGCUUUACUUUUUCAAGUUCAUUUACAUUUGCUAACGGAUGAUGGCGAUUAAAUAACAGUUCAUGUUGAUUUCCCGAUUUCAAAAAUGCAACCACCUCUUGAAAUUUUGAUAGCUGCUCAACCUUGUUAUUUCUAAGACAAGCUUUGGUAUAUACUAAGAAGUCUUUUUGGGUCUUAGUGAAUCCUUUCUUUUGUUUGAGGGUACUGGUCUUAUAUAUUACAUUCUGAAGACUAUUAAUGCUUCGCCCCAUACUUCAAAAUACUUACCAUCUCGCGCAAUUGACGCAAAAGUGACCGAUAAACAGUAGUAGGAGUACUCAUCGUUUAAAUUAUCUUCUCUUUAUGGAUCUAAGGUUGGUAUUAUACCUACAAAAUCCUUAUGAAUGAUUGCGCGUUUAGAGAGAGGUGUUUCUUGUAGUUGCUAAUGAAUCCACUAACUUCAUUAUAGAACAACGAACAAGUAGCUUAAAGCAAGAGAACAAUUACUAUUAUUGGUGUCAUUUAAUAAAUGUUUAAAGAAGUUAAAGCCAACAAAAAUAUAUAUUCAUUCAUUAUUUACAAAAGACGUUGAACUCAGAACAUAUAUUCCGAUUUCAUUAAAUAUAGAUUUUUUUUCUAAUUCAUCGUAUAAACCAAUCUAGAAUACUAAAUCAAAAUUGCACA
Molecule: non-coding RNA, 785 nt
Organism: Schizosaccharomyces pombe (fission yeast)
Lineage: Eukaryota; Fungi; Ascomycota; Schizosaccharomycetes; Schizosaccharomycetales; Schizosaccharomycetaceae
Source: the annotation of a GenBank genome assembly